UUCAGAGGUCCCAAGCGUUGUUCGGAUUCACUGGGCGUAAAGGGUGCGUAGGUGGUCGGGUAAGUUUGAUGUGAAAUCUCCGGGCUCAACCCGGAAACUGCAUUGAAUACUAUUCGGCUAGAGGGUUGGAGGGGGGACUGGAAUACUUGGUGUAGCGGUGAAAUGCGUAGAUAUCAAGUGGAACACCAGUGGCGAAGGCGAGUCCCUGGACAACUCCUGACACUGAGGCACGAAAGCUAGGGGAGCAAACAGG
Molecule: ribosomal RNA, 253 nt
Filed under: uncultured bacterium
Lineage: Bacteria
Description: partial 16S ribosomal RNA
Rfam family: Bacterial small subunit ribosomal RNA
Source: RNAcentral